RNAcentral lists this non-coding RNA (148 nucleotides) under Nomascus leucogenys (northern white-cheeked gibbon). Lineage: Eukaryota; Metazoa; Chordata; Mammalia; Primates; Hylobatidae. The record is from Rfam by way of RNAcentral.
GCCGGGUGUGGUGGCAUGUGCCUGUAGUCCCAGCCACUUGGGAGGCUGAGGUGGGAGGAUCGCUUGAGCCCAGGAGGCUGAGGUUGCAGUGAGUCAAGAUUGCACCACUGCACUCCAGCCUGGGCGACAGAGCCAGAUCCUGUCUCAA